RNAcentral lists this non-coding RNA (173 nucleotides) under Butyrivibrio hungatei. Its description in RNAcentral is "Lysine sequence". It matches the Rfam family "Lysine riboswitch aptamer". From Rfam's summary of the family: Riboswitches are metabolite binding domains within certain messenger RNAs that serve as precision sensors for their corresponding targets. Allosteric rearrangement of mRNA structure is mediated by ligand binding, and this results in modulation of gene expression. This family includes riboswitches that sense lysine in a number of genes involved in lysine metabolism, including lysC. Lineage: Bacteria; Bacillati; Bacillota; Clostridia; Lachnospirales; Lachnospiraceae. The record is from Rfam by way of RNAcentral.
ACAAGAGAUAGAGGUUGCGUAAUUCAAUGAGUAAUUCUGCAGAUGUGUCAGGCACAGGAGAAGCAGAACAAAAGGUGAAUACGCCGAAAGGCUUAGUACCUGUAUGCUAAGUACUUGGGCAUAAAGUAAAUAGCUUUAUGACUGUCAUCGCAAGAUGGGGCGCUAUCAACAGC